CAUGCUAUAUGGAUCUCUUGACAUCUGCUUAAGCUGUUAUUAUCUCCCUAUCUGUGCCCUGAAAAGUGUCAGGAGCCCAACCAUUCGUUUCACUUACAUUUGAGUGUGAUUCCUUCUUUUUUAGGGCGAUCCUGCUUUACUUCCACACGGUUUAUGCUCAGUGUUGACAGAACCAUUGUUCAAGAGAACAUCCCCUCCUUUGUGUCGUCAAUAUGUAUGAUGUUUGGAAGCCACUACAGCUUCAGCAUCCAUUAUCCAUCCGAGCUGGCAUCCACCCUAGAGUUCCUGCAGAGGUGCUUUUUCUCCAUAAAUCCUGAGAAGGGGACAAAAGUAGAGAAGUCCAGUACCUCCUGUCUACACGUGAACCCCAGAGUCCUCACCUUGAUCCAAGACCUUUCAGAUCAUGAGUGGCGGGACAUCUGAAUAUGGACUCAAAUAUAUCUGUGAAGAUACUCAGUCAUCCAGGUACAUAGCAAUCUGUGGUUGGUAGAAGAGAGCAACUGGACUUGCUUGAAAAGUCUUGAAGACGUUUCGCCUCUCAUCUGAAAGGCAUCCUCAGUUCUGUCUGUCUAAUAGGGAGUAUCCAGUAUUUAUCCUCUCAUGGAUCAUCAUAGAAUCCGAAUCAGAAUGCUGACGGCUGCAUUGUAGGUGGCUGAUAGAUGUCUUAGACCCCCACCUCUGUUCAGUGAUGGUCGUUCCAGGUUGACAAAAAUGAACGAUCCUCUCGUUUUAUGUGUCACAGUUUUCUUGAGGUGGCUUAGUUCUUUUGUUUUAACAGUAAACA
Neoarius graeffei (lesser salmon catfish) is the source of this 784-nucleotide long non-coding RNA. RefSeq lists it as uncharacterized. The record is from RefSeq and is a predicted model, not a curated record. The transcript is spliced from 3 exons. NCBI's taxonomy places the organism in Eukaryota, Metazoa, Chordata, Actinopteri, Siluriformes, Ariidae.